This 445-nucleotide ribosomal RNA is filed under the name uncultured bacterium. RNAcentral describes it as "bacterial SSU rRNA". It matches the Rfam family "Bacterial small subunit ribosomal RNA", at positions 469 to 917 of the family's 1533-position model. The record is from RNAcentral.
UUGCAGGUACCAUACGAAUAAGGACCGGCUAAUUCCGUGCCAGCAGCCGCGGUAAUACGGAAGGUCCAGGCGUUAUCCGGAUUUAUUGGGUUUAAAGGGAGCGUAGGCUGGAGAUUAAGUGUGUUGUGAAAUGUAGACGCUCAACGUCUGAAUUGCAGCGCAUACUGGUUUCCUUGAGUACGCACAACGUUGGCGGAAUUCGUCGUGUAGCGGUGAAAUGCUUAGAUAUGACGAAGAACUCCGAUUGCGAAGGCAGCUGACGGGAGCGCAACUGACGCUUAAGCUCGAAGGUGCGGGUAUCAAACAGGAUUAGAUACCCUGGUAGUCCGCACAGUAAACGAUGGAUGCCCGCUGUUGGUACCUGGUAUCAGCGGCUAAGCGAAAGCAUUAAGCAUCCCACCUGGGGAGUACGCCGGCAACGGUGAAACUCAAAGGAAUUGACGGC